UGGGGAAUAUUGCACAAUGGAGGGAACUCUGAUGCAGCGACGCCGCGUGAGUGAUGAAGGACUUCGUUUCGUAAAACUCUGUUCUAUGGGAAGAAAAGGACUGUACCAUAGGAGAAAGCUCCGGCUAAAUACGUGCCAGCAGCCGCGGUAAUACGUAUGGAGCGAGCGUUGUCCGGAAUUAUUGGGCGUAAAGGGUGCGCAGGCGGCUUUACAAGUUGGAUGUGAAAUAUUGUGGCUCAACCACAAACGUGCAUCCAAAACUGCAAAGCUUGAGUUAAGGAGAGGUAAGUGGAAUUCCUGGUGUAGCGGUGGAAUGCGUAGAUAUCAGGAGGAAUACCGGUGGCGAAGGCGACUUACUGGACAUAAACUGACGCUCAGGCACGAAAGCGUGGGGAGCAAACAGG
This 404-nucleotide ribosomal RNA is filed under the name Fusobacteriota bacterium. RNAcentral's name for it is "Fusobacteria bacterium partial 16S ribosomal RNA". It matches the Rfam family "Bacterial small subunit ribosomal RNA", at positions 355 to 776 of the family's 1533-position model. Lineage: Bacteria; Fusobacteriati; Fusobacteriota. The record is from RNAcentral.